GGGGAUGUAGCUCAGUGGUAGAGUGCUUGCUUAGCAUGAAUUAGGGCCAGGAUUCCAUCCCCA
This 63-nucleotide transfer RNA is filed under the name Heterocephalus glaber (naked mole-rat). It matches the Rfam family "tRNA". Rfam says of the family: Transfer RNA (tRNA) molecules are approximately 80 nucleotides in length. Their secondary structure includes four short double-helical elements and three loops (D, anti-codon, and T loops). Lineage: Eukaryota; Metazoa; Chordata; Mammalia; Rodentia; Bathyergidae. The record is from Rfam by way of RNAcentral.